AAGGCGUAUACACAGAACAAUUUCCACAAUGAACAGCAAACUACUUAUUUUCUUCCUCGUUAUUGGGAUUCUUUUGGCGGAGUUAUGUACAUUUGAAGCGGCUAGUAGGUUUGGUGUGAGGCGUAGAAGAGUCAAGGGACGUGCACUAGAGGCUCAGGACGAUCAAUAUAUUGACGACGACGAAGAUAAUGGAUAUGAAGACCCAAAGAAAAGAUUCCUCUAUAACGAGAAUGACGAUUAUUACGAUUAAAUCUACCUCAUGCAACUAAUCGAGUAUUGAUUGUAUCAAAGGUUUAUGCAAUGUUCAAAUAAUGUAUACCGUAAUCGAUAAAACAAUGGGUUAUGUGUCGCUGUAAGGUUAUUAUUGUAGUGUUUCAAUAAUUCUGAAUUGAUGUAAUGUAAUGAUGUCUGUACUACAAUAACAUAUGUAUAAUACAAUCAUAUUAUGUUAUGUAAUCUUGUGUGUGGAAAAUAAUAUUUCUCAAUAUUAGAA
Molecule: long non-coding RNA, 493 nt
Organism: Saccoglossus kowalevskii
Lineage: Eukaryota; Metazoa; Hemichordata; Enteropneusta; Harrimaniidae
Source: RefSeq, a predicted model, not a curated record